Molecule: ribosomal RNA, 433 nt
Filed under: uncultured bacterium
Lineage: Bacteria
Description: partial 16S ribosomal RNA
Rfam family: Bacterial small subunit ribosomal RNA
Source: RNAcentral
AACGAACGCUGGCGGCAGGCCUAACACAUGCAAGUCGAGCGCGCCCUUCGAGGUGAGCGGCGGACGGGUGAGUAACGCGUGGGAACGUGCCCUUCUCUGCGGAAUAGCCUCGGGAAACUGAGAGUAAUACCGCAUACGCCCUUUGGGGGAAAGAUUUAUCGGAGAAGGAUCGGCCCGCGUUGGAUUAGGUAGUUGGUGGGGUAAUGGCCCACCAAGCCGACGAUCCAUAGCUGGUUUGAGAGGAUGAUCAGCCACACUGGGACUGAGACACGGCCCAGACUCCUACGGGAGGCAGCAGUGGGGAAUCUUAGACAAUGGGGGCAACCCUGAUCUAGCCAUGCCGCGUGAGUGAUGAAGGCCUUAGGGUUGUAAAGCUCUUUCAGCUGGGAAGAUAAUGACGGUACCAGCAGAAGAAGCCCCGGCUAACUCCGUG